Molecule: transfer RNA, 72 nt
Filed under: Bacillus subtilis
Lineage: Bacteria; Bacillati; Bacillota; Bacilli; Caryophanales; Bacillaceae
Also listed under: 2 other names
Description: tRNA-Glu
Rfam family: tRNA
About the family: Transfer RNA (tRNA) molecules are approximately 80 nucleotides in length. Their secondary structure includes four short double-helical elements and three loops (D, anti-codon, and T loops). Further hydrogen bonds mediate the characteristic L-shaped molecular structure. tRNAs have two regions of fundamental functional importance: the anti-codon, which is responsible for specific mRNA codon recognition, and the 3' end, to which the tRNAs corresponding amino acid is attached (by aminoacyl-tRNA synthetases). tRNAs cope with the degeneracy of the genetic code in two manners: having more than one tRNA (with a specific anti-codon) for a particular amino acid; and 'wobble' base-pairing, i.e. permitting non-standard base-pairing at the 3rd anti-codon position.
Source: RNAcentral
GGCCCGUUGGUCAAGCGGUUAAGACACCGCCCUUUCACGGCGGUAACACGGGUUCGAACCCCGUACGGGUCA